GGCUUGUCCAAGUAGAGUGGUGAUUACAACUUAUCAAUCACAACAAGUUAUAGAUUUCUUUGUUCCUUCUCCACUCCCACCGCUUUACUUGAUUAGCCUAAA
RNAcentral lists this Y RNA (102 nucleotides) under Propithecus coquereli (Coquerel's sifaka). Its description in RNAcentral is "Y RNA (ENSPCOG00000006519.1)". It matches the Rfam family "Y RNA". From Rfam's summary of the family: Y RNAs are components of the Ro ribonucleoprotein particle (Ro RNP), in association with Ro60 and La proteins. The Y RNAs and Ro60 and La proteins are well conserved, but the function of the Ro RNP is not known. In humans the RNA component can be one of four small RNAs -- hY1, hY3, hY4 and hY5. Lineage: Eukaryota; Metazoa; Chordata; Mammalia; Primates; Indriidae. The record is from Rfam by way of RNAcentral.